RNAcentral lists this ribosomal RNA (253 nucleotides) under uncultured bacterium. RNAcentral describes it as "partial 16S ribosomal RNA". It matches the Rfam family "Bacterial small subunit ribosomal RNA", at positions 524 to 776 of the family's 1533-position model. The record is from RNAcentral.
UACGGAGGGUGCAAGCGUUAUCCGGAUUCACUGGGUUUAAAGGGUGCGUAGGAGGGCAGGUAAGUCAGUGGUGAAAUCCCCGGGCUUAACUUGGGAACUGCCGUUGAUACUAUCUGUCUUGAAUACCGUGGAGGUGAGCGGAAUAUGUCAUGUAGCGGUGAAAUGCUUAGAUAUGACAUAGAACACCAAUUGCGAAGGCAGCUCGCUACACGAAUAUUGACUCUGAGGCACGAAAGCGUGGGGAUCAAACAGG